RNAcentral lists this ribosomal RNA (483 nucleotides) under uncultured bacterium. RNAcentral's name for it is "partial 16S ribosomal RNA". It matches the Rfam family "Bacterial small subunit ribosomal RNA", at positions 899 to 1397 of the family's 1533-position model. The record is from RNAcentral.
ACUCAAAGGAAUUGACGGGGGCCCGCACAAGCAGCGGAGCGUGUGGUUUAAUUCGACGCAACACGCAGAACCUUACCUAGAUUUGACAUGCAUCUGCAUGGUGGUGAAAGCCACCAGCCUUCGAGGGUGAUGCACCGGUGCUGCAUGGCUGUCGUCAGCUCGUGUCGUGAGAUGUUGGGUUAAGUCCCGCAACGAGCGCAACCCUUGCCUGAUGUUAUUUGUGUCAUCAGGGACUGCCGUGGUGUUACCACGGAGGAAGGCGGGGAUGACGUCAAGUCCGCAUGGCCCGUACGUCUAGGGCGACACACACGCUACAAUGGUCGGAGGAAUGCGUUGCGACCCAGCAAUGGGCAGCGAAUCGCCAAGGCCGACCUCAGUGCAGAUUGGGGGCUGCAACUCGCCCCCAUGAAGGCGGAGUUGCUAGUAACCGCGUGUCAGCAAAGCGCGGUGAAUACGUACCCGGGCCUUGUACACACCGCCCGU